GCCUCGGUGGUGUAAUAGAAAGCACGGCAGACCGGAUAUCUGUUAGUGCGGGUACGAGUCCCGCCUGAGGUU
This is a non-coding RNA of Dictyocaulus viviparus (bovine lungworm), 72 nucleotides long. Lineage: Eukaryota; Metazoa; Nematoda; Chromadorea; Rhabditida; Metastrongylidae. The record is from Rfam.